This 305-nucleotide unclassified non-coding RNA is filed under the name plant metagenome. Its description in RNAcentral is "partial contains 5.8S ribosomal RNA, internal transcribed spacer 2, and large subunit ribosomal RNA". The stretch from base 1 to 105 matches the Rfam family "5.8S ribosomal RNA", at positions 50 to 154 of the family's 154-position model. The record is from RNAcentral.
GAAAUGCGAUAAGUAGUGUGAAUUGCAGAAUUCAGUGAAUCAUCGAAUCUUUGAACGCACAUUGCGCCCUUUGGUAUUCCAAAGGGCAUGCCUGUUCGAGCGUCAUUUGUACCCUCAAGCUUUGCUUGGUGUUGGGCGUCUUGUCUCCAGUUCGCUGGAGACUCGCCUUAAAGUAAUUGGCAGCCGGCCUACUGGUUUCGGAGCGCAGCACAAGUCGCGCUCUCUUCCAGCCAAGGUCAGCAUCCACAAAGCCUUUUUUCAACUUUUGACCUCGGAUCAGGUAGGGAUAUCCGCUGAACUUAAGC